This 497-nucleotide ribosomal RNA is filed under the name uncultured bacterium. RNAcentral describes it as "partial 16S ribosomal RNA". It matches the Rfam family "Bacterial small subunit ribosomal RNA", at positions 28 to 507 of the family's 1533-position model. The record is from RNAcentral.
GAUGAACGCUGGCGGCGUGCCUAAUACAUGCAAGUCGAGCGAACAGACGAGGAGCUUGCUCCUCUGACGUUAGCGGCGGACGGGUGAGUAACACGGGGAUAACCUACCUAUAAGACUGGGAUAACUUCGGGAAACCGGAGCUAAUACCGGAUAAUAUAUUGAACCGCAUGGUUCAAUAGUGAAAGACGGUUUUGCUGUCACUUAUAGAUGGAUCCGCGCCGCAUUAGAUAGUUGGUAAGGUAACGGCUUACCAGGGCAACGAUGCGUAGCCGACCUGAGAGGGUGAUCGGCCACACUGUAACUGGGACACGGUCCAGACUCCUACGGGAGGCAGCAGUAGGGAAUCUUCCGCAAUGGGCGAAAGCCUGACGGAGCAACGCCGCGUGAGUGAUGAAGGUCUUCGGAUCGUAAAACUCUGUUAUUAGGGAAGAACAAAUGUGUAAGUAACUAUGCACGUCUUGACGGUACCUAAUCAGAAAGCCACGGCUAACUACGUG